This 287-nucleotide ribosomal RNA is filed under the name uncultured bacterium. RNAcentral describes it as "partial 16S ribosomal RNA". It matches the Rfam family "Bacterial small subunit ribosomal RNA", at positions 775 to 1067 of the family's 1533-position model. The record is from RNAcentral.
GGAUUAGAUACCCUGGUAGUCCACGCAGUAAACGAUGAUCACUAGAUAUUUGCGACAUACUGUAAGUGUCUUAGCGAAAGCGAUAAGUGAUCCACCUGGGGAGUACGGUCGCAAGAUUGAAACUCAAAGGAAUUGACGGGGGCCCGCACAAGCGGUGGAGCAUGUGGUUUAAUUCGAUGAUACGCGAGGAACCUUACCAGGGCUUAAAUGUAGAUUGACAGUUUGAGAAAUCAGACCUUCUUCGGACAAUUUACAAGGUGCUGCAUGGCUGUCGUCAGCUCGUGCCG